CCACUCGUAAUGGAGUGGUAUCCAUAUCUGAAUUCAUAGGAUAUGAGAAGGCAGACCCGGGGAACUGAAACAUCUAAGUACCCGGAGGAAGAGAAAGCAAAUGCGAUUCCCUGAGUAGCGGCGAGCGAAACGGGAUUAGCCCAAACCAAGAGGCUUGCCUCUUGGGGUUGUAGGACACUCUGUACGGAGUUACAAAAGAACGAGGUAGAUGAAGAGGUCUGGAAAGGCCCGCCAUAGGAGGUAACAGCCCUGUAGUCAAAACUUCGUUCUCUCCUGAGUGGAUCCUGAGUACGGCGGAACACGUGAAAUUCCGUCGGAAUCCGGGAGGACCAUCUCCCAAGGCUAAAUACUCCCUAGUGACCGAUAGUGAACCAGUACCGUGAGGGAAAGGUGAAAAGCACCCCGGAAGGGGAGUGAAAGAGAUCCUGAAACCGUGUGCCUACAAGUAGUCAGAGCCCGUUAACGGGUGAUGGCGUGCCUUUUGUAGAAUGAACCGGCGAGUUACGAUCCCGUGCAAGGUUAAGCAGAAGAUGCGGAGCCGCAGCGAAAGCGAGUCUGAAUAGGGCGCAUGAGUACGUGGUCGUAGACCCGAAACCAGGUGAUCUACCCAUGUCCAGGGUGAAGUUCAGGUAACACUGAAUGGAGGCCCGAACCCACGCACGUUGAAAAGUGCGGGGAUGAGGUGUGGGUAGGGGUGAAAUGCCAAUCGAACCUGGAGAUAGCUGGUUCUCUCCGAAAUAGCUUUAGGGCUAGCCUCAAGGUAAGAGUCUUGGAGGUAGAGCACUGAUUGGACUAGGGGCCCCUACCGGGUUACCGAAUUCAGUCAAACUCCGAAUGCCAAUGACUUAUCCUUGGGAGUCAGACUGCGAGUGAUAAGAUCCGUAGUCGAAAGGGAAACAGCCCAGACCGACAGCUAAGGUCCCAAAGAAUACGUUAA
Molecule: ribosomal RNA, 937 nt
Filed under: Escherichia coli
Lineage: Bacteria; Pseudomonadati; Pseudomonadota; Gammaproteobacteria; Enterobacterales; Enterobacteriaceae
Description: partial 23S ribosomal RNA
Rfam family: Bacterial large subunit ribosomal RNA
Source: RNAcentral